Molecule: ribosomal RNA, 460 nt
Filed under: uncultured bacterium
Lineage: Bacteria
Description: partial 16S ribosomal RNA
Rfam family: Bacterial small subunit ribosomal RNA
Source: RNAcentral
CCUACGGGAGGCAGCAGUGAGGAAUAUUGGUCAAUGGACGCGAGUCUGAACCAGCCAAGUCGCGUGAGGGAUGACUGCCCUAUGGGUUGUAAACUUCUUUUAUAUGGGAAUAAAGUGUUCCACGUGUGCGCUUUUGUAUGUACCCUAUGAAUAAGGAUCGGCUAACUCCGUGCCAGCAGCCGCGGUAAUACGGAGGAUCCGAGCGUUAUCCGGAUUUAUUGGGUUUAAAGGGUGCGUAGGUGGAUUUUUAAGUCAGUUGUGAAAGUUUGCGGCUCAACCGUAAAAUUGCAGUUGAAACUGGGAGUCUUGAGUACAGUAGAGGUGGGCGGAAUUCGUGGUGUAGCGGUGAAAUGCUUAGAUAUCACGAAGAACUCCGAUUGCGAAGGCAGCCUACUGGACUGCAACUGACACUGAGGCGCGAAAGUGUGGGUAUCAAACAGGAUUAGAUACCCUAGUAGUC